GAAUUCACUAGUGAUUCAGGCCUAACACAUGCAAGUCGAGCGGUAACACAGGGAGCUUGCUCCUGGGUGACGAGCGGCGGACGGGUGAGUAAUGUCUGGGAAACUGCCUGAUGGAGGGGGAUAACUACUGGAAACGGUAGCUAAUACCGCAUAACGUCGCAAGACCAAAGAGGGGGACCUUCGGGCCUCUUGCCAUCAGAUGUGCCCAGAUGGGAUUAGCUAGUAGGUGGGGUAAUGGCUCACCUAGGCGACGAUCCUUAGCUGGUCUGAGAGGAUGACCAGCCACACUGGAACUGAGACACGGUCCAGACUCCUACGGGAGGCAGCAGUGGGGAAUAUUGCACAAUGGGCGCAAGCCUGAUGCAGCCAUGCCGCGUGUAUGAAGAAGGCCUUCGGGUUGUAAAGUAAAGGGAGCGAGGAGGAAGGCAUUAAGGUUAAUAACCUUGGUGAUUGACGUACUCGCAGAAGA
RNAcentral lists this ribosomal RNA (469 nucleotides) under uncultured bacterium. Its description in RNAcentral is "bacterial SSU rRNA". It matches the Rfam family "Bacterial small subunit ribosomal RNA", at positions 34 to 488 of the family's 1533-position model. The record is from RNAcentral.